RNAcentral lists this ribosomal RNA (395 nucleotides) under uncultured bacterium. Its description in RNAcentral is "bacterial SSU rRNA". It matches the Rfam family "Bacterial small subunit ribosomal RNA", at positions 505 to 898 of the family's 1533-position model. The record is from RNAcentral.
GUGUCAGCAGCCGCGGUAAUACGGAGGGUGCAAGCGUUGUUCGGAAUUAUUGGGCGUAAAGCGCGUGUAGGCGGGAAGACAGGUCAGUUGUGAAAUCCCUUGGCCUAACCAAGGAACUGCAUCUGAAACCAUUUUCCUCGAGUACGAUAGGGGAGGGCGGAAUUCCCAGUGUAGAGGUGAAAUUCAUAGAUAUUGGGAGGAACACCAGUGGCGAAGGCGACCCUCUGGAUCGAUACUGACGCUGAGACGCGAAAGCGUGGGUAGCAAACAGGAUUAGAUACCCUGGUAGUCCACGCUGUAAACGAUGUGCACUAGGUGUUGGAGGUACUUAAUCCUCCAGUGCCGCAGCUAACGCAUUAAGUGCACCGCCUGGGGAAUACGGCCGCAAGGUUAAA